AUCGAACGCAAGCGGGCUGCUUUAUACAUGCAAGUCGAACGAGUGGCGGACGGGUGAGUAAUAUCUCGGUAAGAGCCCAGUAGCAGGGGCUAACUACUCGCAACAGUGGCUAAUACCCCCUCCUAUUGGCGCGGCCGAUAUUGGAUUAGCUAGUUGGUGGGGUAAAGGCUCACCAAGGCAACGAUCCGUAGCUGGUUGGCGAGGACGACCAGCCACACUGGGACUGAGACACGGCCCAGACUCCUACGGGAGGAAGCAUGGGGGAAUUGUGGACAAGGGGGGAAGCCCUGCUCCAGCCAUCCCGCGUGGAGAAGAAGGCCUUCGGGUUGUAAAGUACUUUUGGCAGAGAAGCGGUAUCUGCAGAAUAAGCCCCGGCUAACUACGUGCCAGCAGCCGCGGUAAUAC
RNAcentral lists this ribosomal RNA (405 nucleotides) under uncultured bacterium. RNAcentral describes it as "partial 16S ribosomal RNA". It matches the Rfam family "Bacterial small subunit ribosomal RNA", at positions 30 to 526 of the family's 1533-position model. The record is from RNAcentral.